UUUGUUACACGUAGGAUUUAUUAAUUGCUGUCAUACAGAAAUCAACUAAGAAUGUUCAGUAUGUAGCAUGGGAAAGAAAGCUUGUGGGACUAUGCAACCGUACAGAGAUUCUGGAAACAGAAGACUGUUCACAAGGAGUUAUUUGGAAAUAUGGUUACUUAGGCCCCAGGUAAUUACGUUUGAAAAGCAAGCAGGUAGAAAACAUGCAAGCAUUCAGUUUGAGAGCUUAACACCUUCCCCUCACCCUCCAAAAGACUGAGCGGUCAAAAUAUUCUAGGACCAUAAAGCCAUGAACUACAGGUAGUGACUCAAAAUUCUGCUCCAAAUGCGUCCCCUUAUACAGCAUUAAUCUUGAUUACUAGAACACGAUAACCAGAAAAUAGAGAAUGAAGUUUCCUUCUCUACCAUGAAGAUACAGGGUGACAUUUUGUUACAGGUAAGAAGUUUGUCUUCUAGAUCUCAUGUUCAGGGACAUGAAAAUUACUUCAAUCUACGAAGGUAACAAAAGGUUUUUGUGCUACCUACGCUGAAUCUGGCAUGUACAUAUGAUUUUUCCUAUUUAUACUAAUCUUAAGCACAUCAAUUUAAUUCUACCGAGAGGCAGGAUGCUAUGCCACACUCCAAAGAGGGUUAUAAGAAAAGAAAUGAAGAACUAAAAUGAUUUCAUUAAGCACAAGUGUAAGAAAAUCACACAAACGACUAAAUAAGGAUUGCAUAAAUGAGGAUGUUGUAGAUUUAAGUAAUUUAGUGAGUGCACUCUGAAAACUGGCUUAUACAGUUAGAAAGUAAGUUACAUGAGCCAUGAUUUUUAUGUGGGUUUCCAGUCUUUCUCUUCAGACACUUAAAAAUACCCUGAUUUUUAUAAACAUGGAUCUGAUAGCACUAAUUUCAGUGGGAGCUGAGAAAAAGUCACUUUUACUUGUGUGCAUAAAUAUAAAAUCUCACGGACUACCUUGGUAAUUGGACUUAGUCCCCAAAUCCCUAUAUGUGAGCCUCUGUUCAGGUUUACCAGAAGGUGCACUCACUCUAUUGCAGUUAACAUUCACCUUCUGUUAACGUACUAUUUUGACCAUCAGUGUCCUUGUUAAAUAUACCUAGUUACUGAGCUAUAGUCACCACUUCCCAAUACUAAGGCUUCAUUUAUUGAAGAUCUGAUCAGCAUUCAUAUUUUACUGUGCAAUAGCAAAGGAUCUUUUGUUGCACACAAUACAGAAAGUUAAAUUUCUUAGGACUUUUAUUUCUCUAAUGAAUGUCUUCUGAGCUGGGAACUCAGCAAUAAAUUAAGGAGAACAGGGAAGCAACUUAAUGGAAUUCCGUUAUUAAUUAUUUCAUACUUUAAUUGCGUCCAGAUGGUUCAUCAGAAUUAGAACCUCAUUAAGUUGAGUACCAUAUAAUAACCCAAGUAUGCAGUGUCUGCCCCCAGUGCUGGUUCCAUUACCCUUUCUGAAAAAGGAAUCUUAACUGAAAGUCCAUCUGCAAAUGUUUAAGUGGGUUCGCUCACUUGUUUGCAGAACUGUGGCCUAAUUGACUACACAGUAUAGAUUGCAAAGCAAAGUGUAGAAGGAAGGUCAAAUGCAAGAAAUAAAGAUGUGUGUGUGCAUACAUGUACUUCUAUAGCUUCUUCACUUAUUAGUUACCAAAGGUAAAAAAAGAACUAAAUUAUCAAACCCAGUAUUUUUCCCCAGUUGAUAUCCACUGUUCGUAUAAAUUGUUUUCCUCCGUUACAGGUUAAGUUUCCAUAAACACACACGGUAGUCGUUGAUAGGAAGCUUGGUUUUAAAUUAGCCAAAGAAUGUAUUUGAGCUGCAUUUUUUCCAAAAUUGAACACAUUAAAGCUUAUUUUUCAAAAAUAACAUAUGUAGCUUGUGUUCAAGAGCUGAAAACCAGUAUGGUUUUUCUGCAAGAGAUGAAAGCUUAUAAUUAUAUUGGAUUAUAAAUCUAAAAGCACAUUUCCAUGGAAUCAUCCAUUGUAUCAAAGCUGGUGCUUCUCAUUUUAUCUUUUGUCCUCAUUCCCAUGUAGUCCUGGCAAGAAUGUCAUUUAUCAAUGUAAAAAUGUUAAAUCACCCCAGUCAUGAAAUAUUAACAGAAUGCAUACAAUUAUGACUCCUAAAUUGAAGUCUUUCUAGCUGCAAUUUGUCACAUCUAGAAUUAUUAGUAGAGUAAAACUAGAAAGCUAUGAAAUAGCUAAAAUGGAAAAAUAGUGCUUCUAGUACAUGCGUUUAAUGUAGGUAAGCCCUGAACCUGCUUCAGCUGAGGUCAACAGGAGCUUUUCCUUCAACAUCAGUGGGAGCAAAAUAAUGACUUCCUAAAUGUCUUGAUUCUGAGCAACAGAUGAACAACAUAAUAGCGGUUCUUAAUUCCUUCAUGCAGAGAUGUAGAUAUUCUGGAGCAAAGUAGAAUGAGCAUGCUACUAAUUAUUUUCUAGAUGGUAAUAAUAUAUAUUCAAAGCUUUAAAAUAGUCUCCUGCAGCCUGUACCUAGAACAUAUUCCCUGAAAGUAACAGAUAGACAAUGCUAGGGGAACAGAUCCUAUGUUUUGUGAGAAACAGGGGAAGUUCUUUUACCCACUAGUUCCUCUGAAAUAAUAAAAUUAGCAAAUUCAAAAGCUCAGUGUAACUUUGAAAUAAUUAAAACCCUUUAAAAGUGUGGAAUAAGAUUAUGAAACAUGUACAGUUCAGUUACAUAUCAUCUAGAACUUCAAAACAUUGCAAGCAAGCCAGACUUCUUGUACUUCCUUACUAAUAUAUUCCAAAAAUACCCAAAGUAGUUUUAUUAUAAUGAGAGUAUUUUUAUCUCUAAGAACUAUUUCCUGUGAGCACUGUGCUCCUGCCUGCUGACUUUAUUACCAUGUUACACACUAUGGACCUUGGUAAAGCCCUAGCAACCUGGUCUAACUUUGAAGUUACCCCUGGUUUUAGCAGGAAGUUGGACUAGUGAACUUUUGAGGUCCGUGCAAGACUGUGUUUCUCUAGUUCUGUAAUUCUAUGAUUCUACAACAAGUUUUUCUAAGAGGAAAAAUGAUGAAUAUAUGGACUGUCUUUUCCACUACCUCUACCACAAAAGCAGACGUUUGUCUUUCCUUAUGCUCUUAUCUGAUCACUUGUAGCAGCCCAGACUGUCUGCUGAUCUCAUUUCAUGAAUACUUAUCUCUCUUGGUCUUUAGGUCUCAGUCUCAUUUCUUUUGCUACAGUUUAUAAAUAUGGCAUAAUCUCAUGCCCUUAAAAACCAAAACAUUAUUAACUGAUGUGCUUUUCUAACUGUUGCCUCUCUUUCAAUGGUUAAGCUCAGUUUUCUUCCUGUAGUUCUGUCAUACUCUACCAAACUGUCAUCUGGCUGCCUUGCACUCUCAGGAAGCCAGUAUCUCAUUUUGAUCACAGUCCCUAAGAACAUGUUCUUAACCAGCCUCAAAAGUGCAGUUUUAUAUUCAUCUGUCUUGUGGGCCACCAGUGAAGCCAGUGGUGCAUUUUUCCUGAUAAUCCUGUCAUUCUCAUUUGACUCCUGUCACCAUUUUGUUUAUUUCCGUUACUUCCUUAAUUGUUCUUUUGAGCAGAUCAUUUGUAAGAACCUCCACUUUCCUGAGUUUUCUAUACGGUUCCAGGUUUUGGGCUUUCAUUUAAUUCUUUCUUCCCUCUGCAAUAUGUCUGUUGGUGAUUUAUUCCACAAAUACUAUUUUAGCUAGCUUCUAUAUGUGAAAAACCUGCAAAGUUGAUUUUCCAGUCCAGACUAGACUCUAGUUUUCCAAGCAAAAAGAAGUAAUUAUGCCUAUUGACAUCACCUUUUGGAGAUCUAGCCUAUUUUAAACUUAAUGCAUACUUUUAAAACAUCCUUCCUUAUUUCUCACCUUCAUAACACACCAUUCAGGGUGGCAAAACCAGGGUCAUUAUCUUACUAAACUCUGAUUUCUGAGUCCUGUCCUCUAAAUUUCAAUAACUUUCUUGUUACUACCUCUAGGAUACAGACAUCUUCACCCAUUCAUGUAAGAAUCUCAUGUAAGCUGUCAGUAUAGCCACUUGACUGCAACAGUGUCUUCUCAGACUUUGCCAAAGCAAUUCCACUUUUCUUAUUCAAAGUACUACUGCAAGCUAAAUAUUUAAACAUUAGUUUGACUAUGCCAUUUCUUUAGUUUCUUCAUUAAUGCCCUUUCACUGUUCCAUCAGAUGUACAUACCUUGUCUUUACUUUAGAGGUCAUGUAGGACCUCUUGAUCCCUAUUCCCGUGGAGUCUACGGCACUAGGUUUGAUUGUUUCUAUAUGCCAUUUUCAAACAAACAUCUGUCCAUUCUCUCAUGUUUUGGAGAAGAGGCCAAUAGAGUGGCAAGAUCACUGGCAGGAGGCAUAAGUAGGACUUGAGAGAAGUGAAGUGACUGAUAUUAAAACAAUAGCCACCUGCAUCUUGCUUAAAGCUUGAACCUCAUCCUGAAUGAGGUCAGACAGGAAUAGAGUUUAGAUGGCACACAGGGCUGGUCAGGAAUAUGGAUUCCUACAGCUCCCUCACUGUCCAGCCUCCAAAUGUCACUCUCCAGCUUCCUCUGCUCAUAACACACACAAAAGAAGAAAAUGACAAUAUUUAAACUGAUGGUGUGCUGAAACCACUGCUAAUCAGCUAGACAAAUAUUGACACUAAUUUUAUUUUUCCAUCCAUGUUGUUUUUUGGUCUUUUGUCUUAACUUGGAUUAUAAAGGCUCUGCGGGAAGCCUGGUUUUGUUCUGUGUUUGUACAAUGUCUAGCCACUGGGAUGCUGCUCUGAUUAAGCCUCACAGGCACUCUGGUAACGCGAAUUAAAAACAAUACAGCUUUCUAUUCUUGCUACUUCUACAGAGACUAUUAGGCUGUGGGAAGCUGAAUUCUAUGGCUGCAUAUGGACCAACUGAACAAUACACUAAAUCCUAAUCACUGAGCUACUGCAAAACUAUUAAAGGAAUUGCAGCAGCAUCACUGGGGACUUGAAGAGAGAGAAGCUAAUUUAAUUUUCAUACAACUGGAAAAGUAAAUGCAAAGAAAAAACCAAACAGUUAACCCCCCCCACAUGUAUUUCAUACAGACAAGGAACUCUCUGCACCACUUCUCAGUAUUACUUUUUUAAUUCAGUAAGAAAUUAAAAAUAUGGAUAAAAAAAAA
This 5116-nucleotide long non-coding RNA is filed under the name Strigops habroptila (Kakapo). RNAcentral describes it as "lncRNA (ENSSHBG00005006201.1)". Lineage: Eukaryota; Metazoa; Chordata; Aves; Psittaciformes; Psittacidae. The record is from RNAcentral.